This 941-nucleotide ribosomal RNA is filed under the name uncultured eukaryote. Its description in RNAcentral is "SSU rRNA". It matches the Rfam family "Eukaryotic small subunit ribosomal RNA", at positions 583 to 1660 of the family's 1831-position model. The record is from RNAcentral.
UACCAGCGUCAGUAGCAUAUAUUAAAAUUGUUGCAGUUAAAACGUCCGUAGUCUGUACGUCGUCCCAAACUCACUGCAGUCUUCCGUUUUCUUCAUUGAAUGCGGUAGUUUCUGCAGUCACUCCCUUGAUCAAAUUAGGUUGUUCAAGGUAGACCAAGUCUUCAUAUUUUCACAUGGAAUUGGGUGAGGGAACUUAAGAGUUUAAGUUUCUCGUCUUAGGAUCAUCCGGGGUCAUUCGUACUCGUCCGCGAGAGGUGAAAUUCUUGGACCGGACGAAGACGACCAGCAGCGAAAGCAUCUGUCAGGGAUGUUUUCUGCGACAAAGGACGAAGGUCAGGGUAUCGAAGACGAUUAGAUACCGUCGUAGUCCUGACUGUAAACUAUGCCAACUUGGGUCUUGCUGGGCGAUGCUUUGUGAGACCCACACAGAAAUGAAAGUGUAUGGGUUCUGGGGGUAGUAUGGACACAAGUCUGAAACUUGAAGGAAUUGACGGAAGAGCACCAUAAGACGUGGAGCUUGCGGCUUAAUUUGACUCAACGCGGGAAAACUUACCAGGUCAAGACAUGGGCGUGAUUGACGGGCUAAUGACUUUUCUCGAUUCCAUGGAUGGUGGUGCAUGGUCGCACUUAGUUGGUGCAGUGAUUUGUCAGGUUUAUUCCGGUAACGAACGAGACCUCGGCCUUGUAAAUAGCUACGCUGCUUACAGGGACAUUGGCGGCUACGCCAAGGAAGCUCGAGGCAAUUGCAGAUCUGGAAUGCCCUUAGAUGUCCUGGGUCGCACGCGUGCUACAAUGACGCCACGAACGAGUUUGCGUGAUGAAAGUCACGCAUAAUCAGCAGUCGGCGUCUUAAGGGAUAGUCUCUUGUAACUGUGGGACUCCAACUAGGAAUGUCUCGUAAGCACAAGUCAACAUCUUGUGUUGAUUACGUCCCUGCUCUU